ACACAUUUGAAACAUCCAAUGCAUCUUGGAACUCGUAGUCAAAUUUACAUCUACAGCAUGUAAGAACGCCAGGGCAAAAGACUUCAAUUCCCAGAAUGCACCUGCACCCACCCAUUCAUUCCCACCAAUCAGGAUCAACGGCAUUAUUUCAAACCGCUACUGACUCGGUCUUCGUUUUCAUGCUAAACAGUACGGCUGAGAGGUCAUGUACCAUGUGGUCGACCUUGCUGAUGCUGAAGAGGUUUCUGUGUUAAAAUGAUGUAAGUUUAAUCAUUAAUCUUGUUUUAAUUCAUGCCCAUGUCAUGCUGGCUACCAGUCAAAUAUCGCAUACAAUUAAAAAUACUAUUAAUCACCUAUAAAACCUUAAAUGGCCCAGCACCUUUGUAUCUUAGAGAAUUAAUAUCAGAAUACAAUCCAACACGUACACUGCGGUCGCAAAAUUCUGGUCUCUUAAUUAUUCCUAGAAUAUCAAAAGUGUCUAAGCUCUGAAAUGAUUUGCCAACUGAUGUCUGUGAAUCAGACACAGUCAAUCACUUUAAAUCUAAAGGGACACUUCACCCAUUUGUAUUAAAGGAAUAGUCUACUCAUUUUCAAUAUUAAAAUAUGUUAUUACCUUAACUAAGAAUUGUUGAUACAUCCCUCUAUCAUCUGUGUGCGUGCACGUAAGCGCUGGAGCGCGCUGCGACGCUUCGAUAGCAUUUAGCUUAGCCCCAUUCAUUCAAUGGUACCAUUUAGAGAUAAAGUUAGAAGUGACCAAACACAUCAACGUUUUUCCUAUUUAAGACGAGUAGUUAUACGAGCAAGUUUGGUGGUACCAAAUAAAACGUAGCGCUUUUCUAAGCGGAUUUAAAAGAGGAACUAUAUUGUAUGGCGGAACAGCACUUUUGUGAGUACUUCGACUCGGCGCAGUAACACCCUCCCUCUCCCAUUAUGAGAGGGAGAAGGGGAGCGGAUUUUUCAGGCGAGUUGAAGUACUCCCAAAAGUGCUAUUACGCCAUAAAAUAUAGUUCCUCUUUUAAAUCCGCUUAGAAAAGCGCUACGUUUUAUUUUGUACCACCAAAAUAACUACUCAUCUUAAAUAGGAAAAACGUUGAUGUGUCUGGUCACUUCUAACUUUAUCUCUGAGUGGUACCAUUGAAUGAAUGGGGCUAACUAAAUGCUAUCGAAGCGUCGCAGCGCGCUCCAGCGCUUACGUGCACGCACACAGAUGAUAGAGGGAUGUAUCAACUCUUCUUAGUUAAGGUAAUAACAUAUUUUAAUAUUGAAAAUGAGUAGACUAUUCCUUUAAGCCUAGUAUCUUUAGAACCCCAGUCAUGUUUUUGAAUGGUCGUGCAUCAUUUCCUGAGACAGGAGAAAUACAGAUUUCAGUGUUGCACUUUCUUCUUUCAAUGAUGUAAAAAUCAUCAUUUUGCAUCAUUGAAAGAAGGAAGUCCAAUAUCUUUGUUGAGGGGGUGAGACUACAAACACCCCUUUUUCAGUCAAAUAGGCACCAAAUUCGAAAUGUAUGUUAAAUUUCCACUACAAAUAUGAGACACUUUUAAUAAAGAUUAAUGUUUCUACGGGUGAAAUGGUCCAUUAAAGCAGUGGUUCUCAAUCUUGUUCCUGGGGACCCCCUGCUCUGCACAUUUUGUAUGUCUCUCUAACCUGACACACUUUGCUUAGUUCAUGGAGCUCUCAUCUAAUGAGCUGAUGAUUAGAGUCAGGUGUGUUAGAUAAGGAAUACAUACAAAAUGUGCAGAGCAGGGGGUCCCCAGUAACAGGAUUGAGAACCACUGCAUUAAAGGAUAAUUCUGGCAUUUAACACUUUGAGUCUCAUUUCUGGUUUGUUUUGGAUGAACUGCAGUGAUGGACACAGAAAUUUUGACAAUGGGUCGUGUCUUGAAUUUUUUGACUCGUUUAGAAGCGUCUCUUGACUGCUUCAGAAUGGAAGUCAAGGGUCAUGCACAAACAUGUCAUUAAAACAACACUUAACGUUCAUUUUCAAAACCGAGUGGUUUGUGGUUUUCGUUGAUGAUUAAAAACAAGUAGUGUAGCGAAAUACAGUUUCUGUCGUGUUUUAUUUGGCAUUUUGUAAAAUUCCAUUGACUUCUCUUGGAAGACUCAUUGCUCACUUAUAUACCACCCGCUGGAAAUGGAAAAGGGGUCUGUUUACAUGUGGUUGUAGUUUUUUCGCUCGAUUUCUCUCAGAAGGCUAGCAUGAGCAGAGCAACUGUGCCCUCGGAGUGGGGCACAAAUUUUUCCCAUAUUUGAUGGCUCAGUGACCAGCCUUUGGUUUGAAGUUGAGCUCGAUUGUGACUGUCUAUACGCUAGACACCAAGUUCCGUUCAGCGUGGUUGUCGCCAUCAAGUGGUCAGGAGUGUGCUAACGCUUCAGAAUCAAAUAUAGAGCGGAAGUAUAUACGUGGUUGUGAGGUGUCUGAAAAAAUAGAUCCACUAUAGCAAAUAACACGGAUUGAAAUCAUACAUUGCUCUGAUAUAUUUGUUUUUAAUCAUCAACAUACACCACGAACCACUCUGUGAGUAGCACAGUUUUGAAAAUGAACAUUAAAGGAACAGUAUGUAAGAAAUGUAUAUCAAUUAAUCAUAAAAUGGCCCUGAUAUGUCACUAGACAUUAAGAAAUCAUUUUCAUUUCAAAUACUUAUAUCACUGACAACAGUGGUCCGGCCAGGAUAUUGUCAUUUAAAAAGUGGAGUUGCAGCCCUCAACUGAUGUUUAUGUUGUCAUUUUGUGUAUUGGCCACCAGUUGUGUGAUUGCAGUACCAGUUUUAGCCACAAGUUUUGUGAUUGCAGUACCAGUUUUGGCCACAAUCCUAGAUACUGUUCCUUUAAGUGUUGUUUUAAUGACAUGUUUGUGCAUGGCCCUUGACCUCCAUUCUGAAGCAGUCAAGAGACGCUUCUAAACAAGUCAAAAAGUCAAGACAUGACCCAUUGUCAAAAUUUCAGUGACCAUCACUGUAGUUCAUCCAAAACAAACCAGAAAUGAGACUCAAAGUUUUUAAUACCGGAAUUAUUCUUUAAGACUUUUUUCUUUAACAAAGCAUUCACAUAUUUUGUCUAGUAAAUUAUACUUAUCUCGCAAAAGUUAGCUUGUACAGAACAAAGCAUUCACAUAACUUGUCUGGGUAAUUUACUAAUGCCGCAAUAGCUAGCCUGUCUGGAACCGAGCAGAUAUUAAAACACAACACUGUGUGACACUGCAUUACAUGUGAAUGGCCCCUACACUAAUAGGAUUUUGUUUCUCUCUCCCUGUCUCGUCCUCAAACCCGAGGACAUUGAGACAAACAGACCAGUUCCGGCUGCCGUGGAGGUCAACACACCACUGAUCUACUGGCUGCCCUUCAACGUGAUGCCCAGCCGAUGCCUGACCACCGACGGAACCCGCUAAAUCUCCUUAUCUGUUUACAUCCCAUAUAUAUAUGUGUAUAUCUUUUCCUCCUAGGACUUUUUGUUCCUCCCUGAGGUUUUUCUCCUAGGGGUUUUUUCAACCUCGGGGAGUCAACCAACAUUGGCUUAACUUAGCACCCUCUUUUAUACGAGACAUUAUUAAUUUACUCGCUUGUAAGUUUGCUCGCUUGUUCUAUGUUUCCCCUGCUUCUUUUAAUGUAAAGCUGCUUUGAAACAACUACAAAUUGUGAAAAGCGCUAUAUAAAUAAAAUUGAAAUUGAAAUGUCUCUUUCCUGUUUUACAGAUGCAGUGAGGGAGUGAUUUCCCAACAUCGAGGUGGCAGAGAUCCGGGACCUUCUACGGAGGAAGUGCAACAAUGCCAGUUACAAGGCCUCCAGUAGUUCAAAUCAGAGCUAGAUGUGCAUAUAGUACAAGUUGUUCGCAAUUGUUCUCUUCCCGGCAUUUCAAAGAAAGUCGACUGUUUAAGGUUCCCAUUUUGCCAAUAUCUGUUUUGUGUGUUACUUUUGUGUCAAUAAUAAAGAUCCUUUUUUGAAAUGCA
Non-coding RNA from Paramisgurnus dabryanus, 3943 nucleotides. The record is from RefSeq and is a predicted model, not a curated record. NCBI's taxonomy places the organism in Eukaryota, Metazoa, Chordata, Actinopteri, Cypriniformes, Cobitidae.